UAAAACCCAAAGGACUUGGCGGUGCCCAGACCCUCCUAGAGGAGCCUGUUCUAGAACCGAUAAUCCCCGUUAAACCUCACCACUUCUUGUCAUUCCGCCUAUAUACCGCCGUCGUCAGCUUACCCUGUGAAGACCAAUAGUAAGCAAAAAUGGGACACCCAAAACGUCAGGUCGAGGUGUAGC
Molecule: ribosomal RNA, 183 nt
Filed under: Pseudoscaphirhynchus kaufmanni (Amu Darya sturgeon)
Lineage: Eukaryota; Metazoa; Chordata; Actinopteri; Acipenseriformes; Acipenseridae
Description: partial ribosomal RNA
Source: RNAcentral